Molecule: ribosomal RNA, 808 nt
Filed under: uncultured bacterium
Lineage: Bacteria
Description: bacterial SSU rRNA
Rfam family: Bacterial small subunit ribosomal RNA
Source: RNAcentral
UCGCGGGGCAGCGGGGGAUGUACAUACAUUCUGCCGGCGACCGGCGCAAGGGUGCGUAACGCGUGAGCAACAUGCCCGUCUCAGGGGGAUAACCGGUGGAAACGCCGCCUAAUACCCCAUGGCGAUAUAUUGAGGCAUCUUGAUAUAUCUAAAGCUCCGGCGGAGACGGAUUGGCUCGCGUGACAUUAGCUGGACGGCGGGGUAACGGCCCACCGUGGCUACGAUGUCUAGGGGUUCUGAGAGGAAGGUCCCCCACACUGGAACUGAGACACGGUCCAGACUCCUACGGGAGGCAGCAGUGAGGAAUAUUGGUCAAUGGGCGGGAGCCUGAACCAGCCAUGCCGCGUGAAGGCGAGUGCCCUACGGGCGUUAAACUUCUUUUGUGCGGGAGCAAUAAGGGCCACGCGUGGCCCGAUGAGAGUACCGCACGAAUAAGCAUCGGCUAACUCCGUGCCAGCAGCCGCGGUAAUACGGAGGAUGCGAGCGUUAUCCGGAUUUAUUGGGUUUAAAGGGUGCGUAGGCGGAUCGUUAAGUCAGUGGUCAAAUUGAGGGGCUCAACCCCUUCCCGCCAUUGAAACUGGCGAUCUUGAGUGGAAGAGAAGUAUGCGGAAUGCGUGGUGUAGCGGUGAAAUGCAUAGAUAUCACGCAGAACCCCGAUUGCGAAGGCAGCAUGCCGGCUUCCUACUGACGCUGAAGCACGAAAGCGUGGGGAUCGAACAGGAUUAGAUACCCUGGUAGUCCACGCGGUAAACGAUGAGCGCUAGGUGUCCGGGGGGAAUGGCCCCUGGGCGCCACAGCGAAAGCGUUA